AGGCUGCCCUAUUUGGAAAGAAGAGGUGGCCUGGAGAGGUGAUAAAUCCAUCCAAGGUACGGGCUGGGCAGAAUUUCUGAAUAAAUCAGCCAAUACAUAUUUACUGAAGCCAACUGAGCACCUGGCCCUGAAUGCACACACCCCAGCUAAGGACUCUGCGCACAUUUCUUCCUGAGUUGGAGGGGAGUGUUACGGGGAUGGCGGGUAAGCCCGGUGACCCACAUGUUACUGCUGGCCCAGACGACACGAAGCGCCAUCAGCACAAUGUAGGUGAUCUCUCCAAGCAGACCCGGCAAGCCGAAGGUGGAGUGCACACUGUGGCUCUCGUGAAUCCCCAGCACUCGGUUAAAACACACCUGUGGACAAGUGUUAAUAUAAGCAGACUGGCAGGGUUUCAAAGUGAGAGGAGAUAAAAGAAAUUUGCUCCCCUUGCAAAGAUGAAAAUCAGAUUUGCCCUGGUUUUGGUCAAAUCAAACUAUUGAUCAGUUUUUCCUUAUUUAUUUUAUUUUAUUUUUUAAUGGCCUCCAGUUCCAUCCAUUUGCUGCAAAUGACAGGAUUUCAUUCUCUUUAUGGCUAAAUAAUAUUCCAAUGUGUAUACAAAACACUUUUUUUUUUUUGAGACAGAGUCUUGCUCUGUCGUCCAGGCUGGAGUGCAGUGGCACAAUGUCGGCUCACUGCAACCUCUGUCUCCCAGGUUCAAGUGAUUCUCACAUCUCAGCCUCCCAAGUAGCUAAGAUGACAUUUGCCCGCCACCAUGCCUGGCUAAUUUUUGUACUUUUAGUCGAGAUGGGUUUCGCCAUGUUGACCAGGCUGGUCUUGAACUCCUAACCUCAGGCGAUCUGCCCGUCUCGGCCUCCCAAAGUGCUGGGAUUACAGGCGUGAGCCACUGCGCCCGGCCAGUUUUUCCUAAUUUCAGGUUGAAAUGGACUCCCUGAAUAAUCACUGUUCAUCAAAAUCCAGCCUUCAAAAAUAUACUCCUUUUCCCACCAUCAAGUCUUCAAACCCAUGAAGAUUUGUUGUCCCUAAAUAUUUAGGGACACACAUUAUAACCUUAGAGAAGCACAUUAUAACCAAUUGGCUAUAAUGAAUUAUUCUGGAAUGAUCAGGAUUUGCUGAGUAUUGAAGAAAGAUCCAUCCACUUAGAAGAAGAAUUAAACAAUCAGAAGUGGACACGACCUGGACAUCCGCCCAACACCCUCUUCUGGGUGCUGCUCCUCUCACAUCAUUUACAUGGUUCCCCAGCAGCAGCCAUGUAUGCACGAUGUGCCCACCCCCAGC
Chlorocebus sabaeus (green monkey) is the source of this 1278-nucleotide non-coding RNA. NCBI's taxonomy places the organism in Eukaryota, Metazoa, Chordata, Mammalia, Primates, Cercopithecidae. The record is from RefSeq and is a predicted model, not a curated record.